Molecule: small RNA, 742 nt
Filed under: Pongo abelii (Sumatran orangutan)
Lineage: Eukaryota; Metazoa; Chordata; Mammalia; Primates; Hominidae
Description: processed transcript
Source: RNAcentral
ACAGAUGGAAGUUUCCAGUGCAUUUGCAAUGCCGGCUUUGAAUUAACUACAGAUGGAAAAAACUGUGUUGAUCAUGAUGAAUGUACAACUACCAACAUGUGUUUGAAUGGAAUGUGCAUCAAUGAAGAUGGCAGCUUCAAGUGCAUCUGCAAACCAGGAUUUGUCUUGGCUCCAAAUGGGCGUUACUGUACUGAUGUUGAUGAAUGCCAGACCCCAGGAAUCUGCAUGAAUGGGCACUGCAUCAACAGUGAAGGGUCCUUCCGCUGUGACUGUCCCCCAGGCCUGGCUGUGGGCAUGGAUGGACGUGUGUGUGUUGAUACUCACAUGCGCAGUACCUGCUAUGGAGGAAUCAAGAAAGGAGUGUGUGUGCGUCCUUUCCCUGGUGCAGUGACCAAGUCUGAAUGCUGCUGUGCCAAUCCAGACUAUGGUUUUGGAGAACCCUGCCAGCCAUGCCCUGCAAAAAAUUCAGCUGAAUUCCACGGCCUUUGUAGUAGUGGAAUAGGUAUCACUGUGGAUGGAAGAGUAUAGCCUCUCCAGCAGAGCCAGCCUCUGUUGGAAACUACUUGAUCAUUCAUACAAGCACAUCAAUGCACAAGUUCUACUGCCCCUCAGUGAUAUAGUAGUAGUAGUCAUGCUCAUGGCUCAUUAUAAAACGUCACGUUCUGAAGCAUCCAUGUUUAAAGUGUCCUCUCCAUUAAUUUCACGUAUCAGCAAUGAGAAACACUUAUUAAAUAUUACUAAC